This 1318-nucleotide ribosomal RNA is filed under the name uncultured soil bacterium. Its description in RNAcentral is "bacterial SSU rRNA". It matches the Rfam family "Bacterial small subunit ribosomal RNA", at positions 27 to 1380 of the family's 1533-position model. The record is from RNAcentral.
GGAUGAACGCUAGCAAUAUACUUAACACAUGCUAGUCAAUGGUAUUUUAUAUACUUUGGCGUACAGGUGCGUAAAAAGCAGAGAUCUACCUUAUAGUUUGGAUCCAAAAUCCCAAAUAGUUAUAAAGAUUAAAUAUCGCUAUAAGAUGAGUUUGCAUAAAAUUAGGUAGUUGGUAAGGUAAAAGCUUACCAAGCUGAUGAUUUUUAGUUGAUCUGAGAGGAUGAUCAGCCACAUUGGGACUGAGAUAAGGCCCAAGCAAUUUUGCCAGCAGUGGGGAAUAUUGGACAAUGAACGAAAGUUUGAUCCAGUAAUAUUGCGUUAAUGAGGACAGCAUUAAAGAUUUGGUGUAAAAGCCAAAUUGGCUGUAAAGUUAUUUCGUUAGUGAGGAAAAUGACUGUAACUAAAGAAGAAGCUCCGGCUAACUUCGUGCCAGCAGCCGCGGUAAUACGAAGGGAGCGAGCGUUAUCCAGAAUGAUUGGGCGUAAAGGGUUCGUAGGUUGAUAGUGUAGUUUUGUGUAAAAGUUUGAAUUAAAUCAAAAACGNACAAAAUACUCAAUAUCUAGAGUAAAUUAGAGGAUAAUAGAAUUUUAUAUGGAGGAGUAAAANNNNNUGAUCUAUAAAGGAAUGCCAGUGGCGAAAGCGAUUAUCUGGGAUAUUACUGACACUGAGGAACGAAAGCGUAGGUAGCAAACAGGAUUAGAUACCCUGGUAGUCUACGCUGUCAAAUAUGAAUGCUAAAACAUAGAAUACUUUAUGUUUAUAGUUAACACGUUAAGCAUUCCGCCUGGGAAGUACGAUCGCAAGAUUGGACCCCAAAGGAAUUGACGGGGAUCUACACAAGUGGUGGAGCAUGUGGUUUAAUGCGAUAAUACGCGCGAAAUCUUACCAGUUCUUGAAUAUAAUAUUAAAUUUUAAUAAAAGUUAAAAUUGUUAAAAAUAUUGUAUAUUGAAAAUAUUAUACAGGUGUUGCAUGGCUGUCGUCAGCUCGUGCUGUGAAGUGUUUGGUUAAGUCCUUUAACGAGCGCAACUCUUAUUUUAUGUUGAUAAAUUUUUAAAGAAAUUUAAAAGUAUAACUCAUAAAAGAUGAUCAGUGAUAAACUGAUGGAAGCUGAGAACGACGUCAAGCCCUUAUGGCCCUUAUGGACUGGGCUACACACGUGCUACAAAGAUAGUUACAACGAGUUAUACAAAUAAAGCGAUUUAAAGUAAAUCUCUAAAAACUAUCGUGUUCGGAUUGUAAACUGCAACUCGUUUACAUGAAGUUGGAAUCACAAGUAAUCGCAAAUCAUCAUGUUGCGGUGAAUUUUGUACUUAGAUC